Molecule: unclassified non-coding RNA, 364 nt
Filed under: uncultured fungus
Lineage: Eukaryota; Fungi
Description: sequence contains ITS1
Rfam family: 5.8S ribosomal RNA (bases 1-105)
Source: RNAcentral
GAAAUGCGAUACGUAAUGUGAAUUGCAGAAUUCAGUGAAUCAUCAAAUCUUUGAACGCACAUUGCGCUUUCUGGUAUUCCAGAGAGCAUGCCCAUUUCAGAAUCAGUUGAAUCUCCUCACCACCCUUGGUGGUGGAUGCUGGGCCGUUUGUGCCGCGUGGCACAAUGGCCUGAAAUGCAGUGUAUGGUCCUGUCGCUGUGGGCAGCGGGCCGCAGAGUGCAACAGAUUUAUCUCUUUUCGCUUUGAGGCCUCCGCGUGUCUGCGCGUCCGGCACCUACUUUUCUAUAUCGACGGACGUCCGCCUGGGUGCGGGCGUCCCUCAAUAUUUGGUCUGAAAUUGGGCAAGAAAACCCGCUGAACUUAA